This 73-nucleotide transfer RNA is filed under the name Stegodyphus mimosarum. It matches the Rfam family "tRNA". Rfam says of the family: Transfer RNA (tRNA) molecules are approximately 80 nucleotides in length. Their secondary structure includes four short double-helical elements and three loops (D, anti-codon, and T loops). The record is from Rfam by way of RNAcentral. Lineage: Eukaryota; Metazoa; Arthropoda; Arachnida; Araneae; Eresidae.
GCCUUCGUGGUGUAGUAGUCAGCAUGCUGGCCGCAUAAUCCAGAGGUCCGUGGUUCGAGUCUCGGUGAAGGCG